GGUGCCAGGGGUGUUCCUGGUGUCCUGAGGGUCCCAGGAAUUGCUGGGGAGGGGCCCCUGGGGUGCCGGGGUCCCGGGGGCUGGCUCGCCCCAGCUCAGUUGAUCUGCUCCUCCUCCCAGAUGGGUGUAGGGAUGGCGCCGUAGGGAUCUCUGAUGAGCCUGGCGCACCGCACCAUCAUGGCGAGGAGGAAGAGGCACAUAAGCACCGUGAAGGCUGUGGCGAUGCCCUUGUCCACAUCGGCUGCCGGCAGUGCCGUGGCGGUCUCCAUGCUGGUGGUCCUCAGGACCCCACUGCAUUAGGCGCAACGAGCGUGCCAGGGCUUGGCUGACCCCCAGCAAAACUGACACUUCCCGGGGUUAGAAGCAGGACAGGAGGAAAAACCGCCGGUGAGCAAACAGGGGCGGUGAAGGAGGAUUUUGUUGUCGCUGAAGAGAGACGUUUGUGGCAGCAGAUGGAUAAAUUAUAUCUGUGCAAGGUUGGAGGAGAGGCGGGGUCCUGUUGAGCGGCGCCAGGAGAGCCACGUGGACCCAGCUGUGUGCAUAUAGGCAUAUGCCUAUAUAUAUAAUUUUUUAAGAUUUAUUUUUAACAUGUUUAAAAGCUA
Molecule: non-coding RNA, 602 nt
Organism: Phalacrocorax carbo (great cormorant)
Lineage: Eukaryota; Metazoa; Chordata; Aves; Suliformes; Phalacrocoracidae
Source: RefSeq, a predicted model, not a curated record